Perognathus longimembris pacificus (Pacific pocket mouse) is the source of this 126-nucleotide small nucleolar RNA. RefSeq annotates it as small nucleolar RNA SNORA51. The record is from RefSeq and is a predicted model, not a curated record. The transcript has a single exon. NCBI's taxonomy places the organism in Eukaryota, Metazoa, Chordata, Mammalia, Rodentia, Heteromyidae.
GGCCUCCUGGUGUUUACCACAGGCCAUGUUAUUACACUGUAUAGAGCAAGGGGGCAGAGUAAAUUUACCCCAUACACACCUUGGCUCAGGCUCUGUGCUUUAUCUGUAGUGAAUGGAGAGACAUGA